AGUGAGCGCUGGCGGUAGGCCUAACACAUGCAAGUCGAACGGCAGCACAGUAAGAGCUUGCUCCUACGGGUGGCGAGUGGCGGACGGGUGAGGAAUACAUCGGAAUCUACUUUUUCGUGGGGGAUAACGUAGGGAAACUUACGCUAAUACCGCAUACGACCUACGGGUGAAAGCAGGGGAUCUUCGGACCUUGCGCGAUUGAAUGAGCCGAUGUCGGAUUAGCUAGUUGGCGGGGUAAAGGCCCACCAAGGCGACGAUCCGUAGCUGGUCUGAGAGGAUGAUCAGCCACACUGGAACUGAGACACGGUCCAGACUCCUACGGGAGGCAGCAGUGGGGAAUAUUGGACAAUGGGCGUAAGCCUGAUCCAGCCAUACCGCGUGGGUGAAGAAGGCCUUCGGGUUGUAAAGCCCUUUUGUUGGGAAAGAAAAGCAGCAGGUUAAUACCCCGCUGUUCUGACGGUACCCAAAGAAUAAGCACCGGCUAACUUUGUG
This 492-nucleotide ribosomal RNA is filed under the name uncultured bacterium. RNAcentral describes it as "partial 16S ribosomal RNA". It matches the Rfam family "Bacterial small subunit ribosomal RNA", at positions 29 to 507 of the family's 1533-position model. The record is from RNAcentral.